UUAUUCAAUAUACAUAAUUUUCCUUAUUCGGUACACUUUGAGAGAACAUCCUGCUUCUGCCCUCGCUCAAUCAGUAACGUCAGUAUUUGCGUGUAUCAUCCAGAAUUUUUUCCCAAGUACCAAUUUUUAUAAUGAAAUACAUCCUUAACCAAUUUUUACGAAUGACUUCACAGUGAAAGAAUGACAUCGCGUAAUAAAAAUCGAACUCGCAAAAAUUAUAAUUUGCGUAAUUACUGGACGUAUUUACUUGCCGUGAAGCUGGAAUUCGUUUCAGUUUGAAGGAUGGAGCAGCCGUUGUGCUGUAAAACUGAGACUUCGAACUUAUGACUCAUGAGAUACUACUGCCAUCUAUCAAUUUUUAUGGGAACAACUUAGACUGUUGAAAUUAUGGAAUGAGUGCACCAGUUACUAACGCAUCUAACAUCUGUAUUAUAUUAUAAUAUGAAUGUCACACAAUAAUAAUAGAGAAGUAAUGAAAUGUUUAGCAAUUAUAAAAUUUGGUGAGCCACAAAAAAACAGCAUUGAAAUCAUUUAUUUGGUCGGCGUACAAAGAUUUUGUUUGCAAUUAAAAAAAUCAGGCAGCAAUCCUUGUUGGAACGAACAGCAGAAGAUUUUUAUUAUUUAUGUAUAGUCUUAGUAUAAUUAAUGGCUAUAGUGUCUAAUGUAUAGUCUACAUGCUGACGGUCAUUAUUAUUAUUCACAUAAAUAGCUGUUUCUUUGUAUAUUAUUUAUAUUUAUUUUUGAUAAAUCAUUGUGAAUAAAAUGAAGUUGAUAAUGUAGUUUUUUUAUUGUUAUCAAUAAAAAAUGUAUACCCGAAUAA
Molecule: long non-coding RNA, 820 nt
Organism: Bombyx mori (domestic silkworm)
Lineage: Eukaryota; Metazoa; Arthropoda; Insecta; Lepidoptera; Bombycidae
Exons: 2
Source: RefSeq, a predicted model, not a curated record